Molecule: ribosomal RNA, 268 nt
Filed under: uncultured prokaryote
Description: partial 16S ribosomal RNA
Rfam family: Bacterial small subunit ribosomal RNA
Source: RNAcentral
ACGGAGGGUGCGAGCGUUGUCCGGAAUCACUGGGCGUAAAGGGCGCGUAGGCGGCUUGCCAAGCGUGCGGUGAAAGGCUGGGGCUCAACCGAGGACGUGCGGAAGAAACUGCGAGGCUCGAGUCCAGAAGAGGGGGGCGGAAUUCCGGGUGUAGCGGUGGAAUGCGUAGAGAUCCGGAAGAACACCGGUGGCGAAGGCGGCCUGCUGGGCAGUGACCUCACGGUCAAUAGCUGACGCUGAUGCGCGACAGCGUGGGGAGCAAACAGGA